This 141-nucleotide microRNA precursor is filed under the name Tursiops truncatus (common bottlenose dolphin). RNAcentral describes it as "miRNA (ENSTTRG00000024417.1)". The record is from RNAcentral. Lineage: Eukaryota; Metazoa; Chordata; Mammalia; Artiodactyla; Delphinidae.
AGGAUGUCUAGUUAAAUUUAAAUUUCAGAUAAACAACAAGUAAUUUUUGGUCUAAGUAUAUCCUAUGCAGUUUGGGACAUACUUAUACUAAAAAAUUACUUGUUGUUUAUCUGAAAUUCAAAUUUAAGUGAGUAUCCUGUA